RNAcentral lists this small RNA (28 nucleotides) under Bombyx mori (domestic silkworm). Its description in RNAcentral is "ovarian small RNA-25886". The record is from RNAcentral. Lineage: Eukaryota; Metazoa; Arthropoda; Insecta; Lepidoptera; Bombycidae.
UCAUAAUUCAGCAAGUUUAUACGAUGGU